GAUGAACGCUGACAGAAUGCUUAACACAUGCAAGUCAACUUGAAUUUGGGUUUUUAACUUAGAUUUGGGUGGCGGACGGGUGAGUAACGCGUAAAGAACUUGCCUCACAGCUAGGGACAACAUUUAGAAAUGAAUGCUAAUACCUGAUAUUAUGGUUAUAGGGCAUCCUAUAAUUAUGAAAGCUAUAUGCACUGUGAGAGAGCUUUGCGUCCCAUUAGCUAGUUGGAGAGGUAACAGCUCACCAAGGCGAUGAUGGGUAGCCGGCCUGAGAGGGUGAACGGCCACAAGGGGACUGAGACACGGCCCUUACUCCUACGGGAGGCAGCAGUGGGGAAUAUUGGACAAUGGACCGAGAGUCUGAUCCAGCAAUUCUGUGUGCACGAUGAAGUUUUUCGGAAUGUAAAGUGCUUUCAGUUGGGAAGAAAAAAAUGACGGUACCAACAGAAGAAGUGACGGCUAAAUACGUGCCAGCAGCCGCGGUAAUACGUAUGUCACGAGCGUUAUCCGGAUUUAUUGGGCGUAAAGCGCGUCUAGGUGGUUAUGUAAGUCUGAUGUGAAAAUGCAGGGCUCAACUCUGUAUUGCGUUGGAAACUGUAUAACUAGAGUACUGGAGAGGUAAGCGGAACUACAAGUGUAGAGGUGAAAUUCGUAGAUAUUUGUAGGAAUGCCGAUGGGGAAGCCAGCUUACUGGGACAGAUACUGACGCUAAAGCGCGAAAGCGUGGGUAGCAACAAG
Molecule: ribosomal RNA, 735 nt
Filed under: uncultured Fusobacterium sp.
Lineage: Bacteria; Fusobacteriati; Fusobacteriota; Fusobacteriia; Fusobacteriales; Fusobacteriaceae
Description: bacterial SSU rRNA
Rfam family: Bacterial small subunit ribosomal RNA
Source: RNAcentral